RNAcentral lists this long non-coding RNA (1215 nucleotides) under Parus major (Great Tit). RNAcentral describes it as "lncRNA (ENSPMJG00000012757.1)". The record is from RNAcentral. Lineage: Eukaryota; Metazoa; Chordata; Aves; Passeriformes; Paridae.
AUGGGGAAAACAGAAAGAACCUGGCAGUGGAGCAGUACUAGUCCAUGUUCAAUAGCACUUCACAUUGAGAGGAGCCGGCAGCUGUGGGGAGAGCCCAUGCUCAGUUUUCCAUAUGGGAAUGGAAAAGUGCUGCGGGGAUGUCGGGAUCACUGCACUCUUUUUACCCGGACAGCAGAUGGCAUCGAAGCUCCAGAAACGUCACCUCUCUCUCGGACCCUGUUGAGGUUCUUUUUGGCUUCGACAUGUUGGUGAAAACAGGAUUAUUUUAGUAGGCUCCCAUUUGGCUUGCUGUUAACGUAAAAGAACCUUUUGAUAGUAGUAUAUGUACACACUUUUAAAAUUUGGUGAUCUUUCUCCUGAAGCUUAACUUACUUUUCUCCUUCAGGGUACUUACAGGAAAUUUAAGAAUUUGUCUUAUAAUGCUUUUAAGUGAGGAUUCAUUUUGUUUCUCAUUUAAGUCUGAGUUCCCGAGUUCAUUUUUUAGAAUAAUAUCUCUUCUCCAGAAGUCUGGUUAUUGUGAAUGCUGACUUGGGUAAAAGAGAAAAUGUCAAUCAAAUCUCUUAAAGUAAUAUUAUUUCUAAAUUGUAUUGCUUCCUGAUGUUAGACUUCACAGUUUAUGUACAGCAUUCAACAACUUAUGAAUACUCAGUGCAAAACUGCUGCUUACAUGUCUUAGAAAAACUAAUACAAAAAGCCCAUUGUGAAUAUAUAAAAUUUAAUUAAUUCAGUUGCAAAGUUGACUCUGAUUUCAAUACUUUGUUAGAAGAAAGGAAUUUGUAAUUAUAACUUCAGUUCUUAUGAAAAGUAAAGUGUAACCCAUUUGCUCUUUCAUUUCCAGGAUGGCAAAAGACAGCUGAUUGUCUGUGUCUAAUCCCACAUACUCUAGUCUUCACAGGAAGUGUCUCAUGCCACUUUAUUUCCUAGGAAGCAAUAUGUGCAAACAGAACAGAAAAAGCAUUAAUUUAGUAAGGUUUUUUCCUGUUGUUCUUCUUUUUAACAAAACUGUUUUAAUACUGAAAGCAACGACAGGAAUAUUAAAUUACACAUGAGGAGGGAGUCUAAAUAAUUCUCUUAGUUCAACAGAAGUUAUGUAUGGUAGAAUAUUUUUCUUCAGAAAUACAGAAAAUAGUCCUUUAAGGGAAAAAAAAGAAAAAGUAUUGAGCCAUUUAUCUGAUUAAAAUAUUUAUGGAUGAAAUAAAUGUAGCUCAUCCCUCA